GGAAGUAAAAAUCGUAACAAGGUUUCCGUAGGUGAACCUGCGGAAGGAUCAUUAACAUUAAUUUACUACACACUGUUUUUUUACAACAAAACAAAUCUAUCUAAAAACAAUUCUUUACAAGAAAUUCUUAAAACUUUCAACAACGGAUCUCUUGGUUCUCGCAUCGAUGAAGAACGCAGCGAAAUGCGAUACGUAAUACGAAUCGCAGCUCUCGGAAUCAUCGAAUCUUUGAACGCACAUUGCACCAUUGGGUAUUCCCAAUGGUAUGCUUGUUUGAGCGAAUACUUCCCUAAUCCUCACGGAUUGUAUUGUGUUUGCACGAAAAUAAUGACGACAGUACUCUACAAAACGGUACCGUCAGUACACUCAUUUUUUUUCCUCAAAUCAAGUAGGACUACCCGCUGAACUUAAGCAUAUCAAAAGGCCGGAGG
RNAcentral lists this ribosomal RNA (431 nucleotides) under Kodamaea ohmeri. RNAcentral's name for it is "eukaryotic LSU rRNA". The stretch from base 132 to 283 matches the Rfam family "5.8S ribosomal RNA". Lineage: Eukaryota; Fungi; Ascomycota; Pichiomycetes; Serinales; Debaryomycetaceae. The record is from RNAcentral.